CCUACGGGAGACAGCAGUGGGGAAUAUUGCACAAUGGGGGAAAACCUGAUGCAGCGACGCCGCGUGAGUGAAGAAGUAUUUCGGUACGUAAAGCUCUAUCAGCAGGGAAGAAAAUGACGGUACCUGACUAAGAAGCCCCGGAUAACUACGUGCCAGCAGCCGCGGUAAUACGUAGGGGGCAAGCGUUAUCCGGAUUUACUGGGUGGAAAGGGAGCGUAGACGGCAGCGCAAGUCUGGAGUGAAAUCCCAUGGCUGAACCAUGGAACUGCUUUGGAAACUGUGCAUCUAGAGUGCAGGAGAGGUAAGCGGAAUGCCUAGUGGAGCGGUGAAAUGCGUAGAUAUUAGGAGGAACACCAGUGGCGAAGGCGGCUUACUGGACUGUAACUGACGUUGAGGCUCGAAGGCGUGGGGAGCAAACGGGAUUAGAUACCCCAGUAGUC
This 440-nucleotide ribosomal RNA is filed under the name uncultured bacterium. Its description in RNAcentral is "partial 16S ribosomal RNA". It matches the Rfam family "Bacterial small subunit ribosomal RNA", at positions 338 to 795 of the family's 1533-position model. The record is from RNAcentral.